This is a long non-coding RNA of Hibiscus syriacus, 183 nucleotides long. RefSeq lists it as uncharacterized. NCBI's taxonomy places the organism in Eukaryota, Viridiplantae, Streptophyta, Magnoliopsida, Malvales, Malvaceae. The record is from RefSeq and is a predicted model, not a curated record. The transcript has 3 exons.
UUUUAUUUUGGGCAAAAUGGAAGCAACGUUUAGGGCAAAGAGAGCUGUCAUCAACAUCUCCAAGUUGUUGCCGCAGUGCCCUUCUCCAAUUACCAGGGCUUCCUUAUCCACAUCUUAUCAACCUCCACCAGCACCACCAGGAAGUAAUGCAGCAGUGGGAGAGAGCAGGUACGACGCCAAACA